RNAcentral lists this unclassified non-coding RNA (522 nucleotides) under Zea mays. RNAcentral's name for it is "misc RNA Zm00001eb025320". Lineage: Eukaryota; Viridiplantae; Streptophyta; Magnoliopsida; Poales; Poaceae. The record is from RNAcentral.
CUGCAUCGGCAAAAAAACCCUAGCCGCCACAGCCCGCGCGCGCUCCCUUCACGCCGCCACAACCCGUCACCACGCGUGCUGCCUUCACCGCGCGCUCCCCUCUUCACGGCGGAGAAGGCCGCGGAGGCGCGUGUCGUCGUUGUCCCCGUGGUGGAGGCGCGUGUCGUCGUCGUCCCGUCGGUGUCGUCGUCCCCGUGGUGGAAACCCUUCUUCGGCAAUGAUUUUGUUCUCCAUUCAUGGGAUGAUCCACGGGACAUCGCGCUCCGUCAUAUCACCUUUUCGGCGCCGUCGGCCGCUCGCUCCUUCUUCUCCGUCAUCGGUCGCAAGAUGGAGAACCACCACAACUUCAGGGACUUCUUAUCCCAAGGUUGCUCUUCAUCGACGUCCAAGAACCGCACUGGUCAUGAAGCUCCCGAGGACGACGACUUCGACACCUUCUCGCAGUCGUCGUUUGCUCUGCCACCGCGCAUCAACGUUCCAGCACCUCGCAGCCGCAUUGAAGCUCUUGAUCUGAACUCCUAG